AUGGCCGUCGUGCCGGUGGUGUGCCCCUUCCCCACGCUCCCCUCGCCCUCCUCCUCCCUCAGCACGUCCAUGCGCCGUCUUCACGUCCGUGCGGGCUCGCCGCCAGCGGCGGCCGCCUCGCCACGCGAGCAGCAGAGCGCUAGGGGAGCGGUGGGCGUGGGGGAGAGGAGGCGGCGGCAGGAGGAGGAGAAGGUCGAGGCCGACCCGGAGGAUCUCGAGCAGCAGAGGAAGGAGGAGGUGAACCGCAAGAUCGCCUCCCGGAAGGUGCUCUCCAUCAUCCUCCGGCGCGGGGCCACCAAGGCCGUUCUCGACAAGCGCGAGAUCGGCAAGGGCACCCGUCGCCUCCUCCCCCGCACCGUCCUCGAGGCCCUCCACGACCGCGUCGUCGUGCUCCGCUGGGAGUCCGCCCUCAAGGUCUUCUUCUUCCUCGAUCUGGUGCAGCAGCAACAAUUCAAGGAUCUGUUGGCCGGUCUUCAAUUCUUCAUGCUGCUGCUGCUACUGCUACAUGAGGACCCUCUUCAAUUCUGCAUCCGUUGCGGCCGCCGCAGCUUCCACUUCCAGAAGACCACCUGCUCCUCGUGCGGUUACCCGGCCGCCCGCAUCCGCAAGUGUAAGAUCCCCCUCCCUCUGUCCUAG
RNAcentral lists this ribosomal RNA (636 nucleotides) under Triticum aestivum (bread wheat). RNAcentral's name for it is "partial small subunit ribosomal RNA". The record is from RNAcentral. Lineage: Eukaryota; Viridiplantae; Streptophyta; Magnoliopsida; Poales; Poaceae.